This is a long non-coding RNA of Megalobrama amblycephala (Wuchang bream), 265 nucleotides long. RefSeq lists it as uncharacterized. NCBI's taxonomy places the organism in Eukaryota, Metazoa, Chordata, Actinopteri, Cypriniformes, Xenocyprididae. The transcript has 3 exons. The record is from RefSeq and is a predicted model, not a curated record.
UCAAAGCAAAGACGUCGAAGGGUGGUGUGAUAUCAACAUGGCUACAAUAAUAUGAGGCUGCAUUUUUUGGCUUUGAUGUCAUUCGAACUACGAUCUGGCGGGUCAUACUAUCUGUAAAGAAGAGUCUGCCGAUGUUUUUAAGACACAAGAAAAAGGAGCUUGACCAGGUGCAGAAGGCAACACUCACCAUCAUUGCUGUUGAGGAGGAAGAGGGAACUUUUUACCUUUUAACCCACUGGAUAUUUUGAUUGUCUUUGAAGAUGAG